ACAGCUAAGUAACUAUUUGGAAAGCUAGCUAGCAAACGUCUAGUGGUAAAAGUAACUCAUCAAAGCUUUUAAACCACAACUCCUAAGGGGAAAGGAAACGCUUUGGCGCCGACAAGACUCAGAGUCAUCAUCUGAAAGUCGCACGUUUUGAGCUGAAGCUGAGAAGGAGCAUCUCUGAAUAUUGCUGCAUCACUUCAAACUGAAGCUGAAGCACCUGGAGAGAUCCCUUGCAUGCACAAGGAGAACAUGCAAACUCUGCAAAGAAAGGCCCUGAACGACUGACCAGGAAGUGAACUAGGAAUCUGCUUGCUGUGAGGCAAGAAAAAGUACGACUACCUGUGGCUGCCCUGGUGUCCCAGGGGGUUCAUUAACUCCACAGUCCAGCGUUUAAACACAGCCAGAGGUUGUCUCCAUCUGAAACAUCGAAAAAGGGUGAAGAAUUUUAGUUGACACAGUGAGGAGGCUGUCAGCAACUUGAUGUGCAGCUGCCAAAGACCAUUAAAGGGUCACAAGUUCCCUUUGAACCUGCUUUAUAUGGAGAUGCUGCUGCCGUCACGACACUGGUUUGACACUCCAGACAGACACCCAAUCACACAAGGCUGUUCCUAGGUGUGUUGAUUGCUGCUAUAAAUGAAUGAAUGCAAGGCAUUUUUGUGCAGGAACAAACACUGGUUUAAGCCGGCUGACAGCUGAUUGAAGAUCAGCUGACACUGUCAUCUCAAACACACGACACCAUGGAGGAAAGGAAGUCUCAUGCACAUAUUUCUUCUGUCUUCUUCCCUCUGCUUCAUUUCCUCACGGCUCUCCAUGAUUCUCUGGUGGGAGGGACUAAGACAACAAAGUUAAUUCAGAAAUUUUAGUAUUAUAAUUGCCCAUUUUUGGGGGUGCCUGUGUCAGCUUACCUGUCCUUAUUCACACCAACAGUCCUUGAAAAAAUAAAGCCAAAUUAUCUUUACAACUCAGGGGCAGUGAUUGUGGAGAUGUAACUCUCAAAGGGGCAGCACUCAGACCUUUAUAGUAAAAGCUCAGUCCUUUAAAUCCCUAUCUCAGACUCUGGUUUAAAAUUUUUACUUUUUCAAAGAAACAUUUUGAUGCCUGCUUUUCAAAUUAGUGUGCGUGGGUUUGUACAUGUGUCAGGUAACCUCAUUGUGUCCCCUCACAGCACUUCACUAGUAACAGCAAGUGGGAUGUCUAAUGUUUUUAAUUAACUUAAAGGUUGAAUGUGUAAAAUUUAAUAUGGGAAAUUAAAAGAUGGUAAUUUC
Cheilinus undulatus (humphead wrasse) is the source of this 1262-nucleotide long non-coding RNA. RefSeq lists it as uncharacterized. The record is from RefSeq and is a predicted model, not a curated record. NCBI's taxonomy places the organism in Eukaryota, Metazoa, Chordata, Actinopteri, Labriformes, Labridae. The transcript is spliced from 6 exons.